This is a long non-coding RNA of Diceros bicornis minor, 602 nucleotides long. RefSeq lists it as uncharacterized. NCBI's taxonomy places the organism in Eukaryota, Metazoa, Chordata, Mammalia, Perissodactyla, Rhinocerotidae. The record is from RefSeq and is a predicted model, not a curated record. The transcript is spliced from 3 exons.
AGGUUAUAAUUUCCCCACCAAGUACUACUUUGCUGUAUCCUGUUUACCUUUCACCAGAGGCAUAUAAAGGGGUAGAGCGUAUAAAGGACGCAGCUCCUGCAAGUACCUCAGGGAAAGCCAAGUCUGGACAUUGAGUUCUGCCCAGCUGAAGAGUGGUAGGUGUUAUUGAAGAUAUCUUCAAAGUUAACAUAGAGCCGUAAUAUAAAUAGGACCCAUCAAAGACAUAUGUCUGUUCUGGAAGGAAGAGUGAUUUCCUGGCAGGAAUUGUAAAUUGGAACUGGAAAAGCAACGUUUGGACUCGGUUUCAACACUUACUAACUUUGAGAUUUUAGAAUUCUGGUUUUGCAUGGGGUAUCAACUAAGAAAAUUCCUUCUCAGCCUUGAAGAUAUGAUGACUAAUGAUUAUAGGUAGCAAUAAAAAGUAAAUAACUGCCAAUACAGGCAAAGAUAAAUCUUAAAUGCAGUAUGCUGAGUGAAAGGGGCCCAAGUUCAAAAAGGUAUAUACAGUACAAUGCCAUUUAUAUAAGAAUCUCCCAAAAUCAAAGGUAUGGGAACAGACACCAGAUCAGUGUGUACCAGGGGCCAGAGGUGAGUGAAUGGGU